ACUCAACACUAACAAAUUAAAAUGAGUGAAUCGUCGCUACUAAAGCAUGCUGUCAUCCGACAGAUCCUUGAACAGCGGGUUAGCUCAAAACUUGUCAUAUACGAGUUU
RNAcentral lists this small RNA (108 nucleotides) under Flavobacterium sp. RNAcentral describes it as "6S-Flavo RNA". It matches the Rfam family "6S-Flavo RNA". The record is from Rfam by way of RNAcentral. Lineage: Bacteria; Pseudomonadati; Bacteroidota; Flavobacteriia; Flavobacteriales; Flavobacteriaceae.